UUUUGAGUAACUAAUGUUAAGAUAUUCGAAAUUACUAUUCCUACAAUUAUUACUCAAUUUUGAUUUAUCUUUAAGUUAUAAGUUUUUAGACGUUCACGGUCUUGAACACUAAUGAUCGUACGGGACAUGGACGUCGUGGAUAAAUUAUACAUAAACGGUUUAAAAUAGAAGUUAUGUGUUAUCGAUUCAAAAUAUAUAAUUAAUUAUUUCUUCAACAUGUGAUAUUUUGUAUUCGUCCGCAGUCAUCAGUGACUUGUUCUUUUAGUUCCGUUUUCAGAGAGAAAUAAAAAUUAUCGAAAUACAGAUAAGGAGCCGUCCAUAUUGUACGUCACAGUAAAAGAUUCGGUAAAAGAUGUCACAAUUUUUGCAAUCUUGAAAAUGUAACGUCACGAAAGUUCGACUCUCUGAAAAAAUAUUAAAGACAAACUGUAAUGGCUUGCUAAGUUACGUUCCUUUCGAUUUAUCCUUCACUUUUGUCACGUUUUGUGACAAGUGUGACUGCCCCCUCUCCCUCCAUCCGAAUAUGUUAUGAUCAACAUUUUCUAAAAAAAAUAUCUGUGAUAAUUUGCUGUCACGUAAGAAACGUUAUGUCACAUCAAGUGUGACUAGAGUGCGGAUGUAUGUUAUGGACGGCUUCUGAGAACAAAAUAUACAGGUAUGUACUCCAUAGUCACUGAACAAUUUAAACUCAGUGUUGCCAAAAGUAUUAAAAAACCAACGACUCAAAAUGAAACUUUAAAGUAUGAUACCAGUUUGCUAUUGUAAAUAUUAUUAAUAAAAUAAUAAUAUAUUUUGUACAUGUCCUAAGCGAGAGUCAAACUUAGGAGAGCGUAUUAUGAUAUGUACACAAAACAACAGAUUGUAAAUGAAGGAGGAAAUACUUAAACUUCCAAUAUAAUGCGAUUAGUACAAUAUUCCAUCUUUAUUAAAUCUAUUUCUUAAAUAAAUGUUCGUGAAUGUAAAUUUGAUUCGCUUUUCUAGAACGUUCUCGCUGAGGAACCUCUUUAGCGUCACAGAUAUGCGUAUUGUAUCUGUGGUGUCGAGGAACAGGAGAUAAGUUAAUAUGUAAAGUUCAAUUAAUAAUUAAAACUGAAAAAUUAGAUCUUUGCAAAUAUUGAUUCAAAAUAUUACUUAAUAUGUGUUAUGCCAAAAAGUUAAUUCACUAGUAUAUUGAACAUUGCGUACAUUACAGUUUUCUAUCAAAUCACACGAGUUUCUUUGUUAUUAAUUGCCCGUUGUGAAAAGUUCAAAUAUAUGUUCAAAAAUA
This is a long non-coding RNA of Melitaea cinxia (Glanville fritillary), 1267 nucleotides long. RefSeq lists it as uncharacterized. The transcript has 2 exons. NCBI's taxonomy places the organism in Eukaryota, Metazoa, Arthropoda, Insecta, Lepidoptera, Nymphalidae. The record is from RefSeq and is a predicted model, not a curated record.